Molecule: unclassified non-coding RNA, 279 nt
Filed under: Bombus terrestris (buff-tailed bumblebee)
Lineage: Eukaryota; Metazoa; Arthropoda; Insecta; Hymenoptera; Apidae
Description: misc RNA ENSBTSG00005023144.1
Source: RNAcentral
AUAUAGCGAGCAGCAUAGCGAGUCAUACGGUAGAAUCAACAGGAGUCAAAGAAGUAUUUAGUUGAUGGCUAUCAAUUGCUGAAGUACGAACCAAAAGUUCUACCGGAAGGAAAAAUAGCUCAACAUGCAGAACAAAAUUUACACGAAAUAAAUAAGCUCUUAAAACGAUUCAAUGUAACAUAAACUUUAUCAGUACGUAGUUUGCUAAGUAAGUUCUACGUUUGGGAGUAAAUAUUAAACGAAAAACAAAACUGUAUAUAUACAUAGCCUUCGUAGGCA